This 395-nucleotide ribosomal RNA is filed under the name Argonauta argo. Its description in RNAcentral is "partial 12S ribosomal RNA". Lineage: Eukaryota; Metazoa; Mollusca; Cephalopoda; Octopoda; Argonautidae. The record is from RNAcentral.
UUAUUUUAAGUAAUAAAAAUUUUUUUACCUAAGUAUUACGAGACUAUGAAUAUAGGUCUUAAAACUUAAAAGGUUUGGCGGUUUUACAAAUCCUUUUAGGGGAGCUUGUUAAUUAGUUUGAUAAUCCUCAUUUUAAACUUACUUUUUCUUGAAAUAGAUUAUUAUAAAACUACAGUUUGUAUAUUGCUGUCAUCAGUUUAUUCUUUGAGGGUAAAAGAACUUAUAAAUUUUAAUGUUUAUAUGUCAAGUCAUAAUGCAGUUUAUGGAGAAGGUUUAAUGAGCUACUUUUAUUAAUUUUUAUAAAAUCAGAUGAUAAAAUUUAAUUUUAUUAAAAAGAUGGACUUAAUAGUAAAUUAUAAUUAGUAUGUAUAAUUGAAUAUUGGUUUUGUAAAGUG